Molecule: RNA transcript, 4202 nt
Organism: Prosopis cineraria
Lineage: Eukaryota; Viridiplantae; Streptophyta; Magnoliopsida; Fabales; Fabaceae
Exons: 14
Source: RefSeq, a predicted model, not a curated record
GGGAGGGAGAGAAUAUUCUGGAACUCGUGCGAUCUGGUCUCCGUUCCUCUGCCAUCUCCGAUUUCUUCUCUUCUUCCUUCACUCUUUGCCAUCGCUGAUGAGAGAGCUGAGAUGCUGUGCGUUUUCUGUUGCUGGUCCACUGUUUUCCAGCCCAUGUCUGCUUUAUUUCUUGUUCUUGACCAUAUUUCUUCCCCCACUCUUCUGUUAGUUGAUGAUGAAGCAAGUAAAUAGCUGAUUUGAGGUUGUAAGAGAACUAAUUUAGUGGGUUGGAGGUUGGAAUUGUGCUGUCUUCUUCUUCCCCUGUUCAGUCGUAGGUUCUGUUCUGUGCUUCCCUGUGCGUUUGUGAUUGACUGCCUAAGGUGGUGAUGGAGACUCAUGUUUAGAUAAGUUUCAUAUUGUAUCUCUUCUUCCUCUAGCUUUUGGCAUGCUCAUCCUUGAAAGGGUGUUUGGAAGAGAAGAAGUUUGAUUAAAGUUGAGAGGAGAAAUUUGACUUCUGGAGAAAUUUCAGGUAAGUGGAUAGCGUCCCAACUGAUUUUUUUAAUCAAAAUUUCUUUUACUAGAAUAUUACGUUUUUCUGGAAAUCAUUUUAAUAGCAUUAAUGCAAUUAUUGGAUAUUUGUUGAUUAACUUUACUUUAUUUUGAGAAAUUAGCUUUAUCAAAUUUGAAAUGUUAUUUGAUCAAUUAAAUUAAGUUUGAACUUUGAUUAUGAGAUUUUUAUUUUAUCAAAUAUUGGCGUGAUACAGAGAAUGAUUCAUGCGAGUUCGACUUUGAAAUUUUGAUUAUUCAAUAAAUGCAAGCAUGAGUAUUGGAUAUGAAAUUUUAUUCUGGCAAGUUUUUAAUACUUAAAAAUGUUCAUGCGAGUUUGAUUUUGAGAAUGAGAACUGUAUCUUGAAAGUGAGGAUUUUCUCGCAUGUUUGAAAAUGGUUUUAAAAAUGGACUUUAUACGGAACACUGGUUGCUAACGGCAGUUCCGUUAGCCCUUGGCGCGCCAUGGUACACCUAGCUAGUAGGGUGUUUAUAGGAGGUCCUAGCCCCGUGCGAUGGCCAACGCACGUGGAAUGGAGGGAUGGUUAUUCGUGAGCGUCAUACUCACGUUUGUUUCGUGGCUUCAAGCCGCGUUUGAUUUGCGUUACCCUCAUGGACUGUGUGUCCACGUUUGUUUCGUGGCUUUGGCCGCGUUUGGUUACUUACCCUCGUGGACUGAGUGUCCACGUUUGUUUUCAUGGCAUAAGCCGCGUUUGGUUAGUUACCCUCGUGGAUUAUGUGUCCACGUUUGUUAAUUGUUCUGAUAAGUCCCUAUAUUUAUGAAUCCAAUCGUUUGAUGAUUUCAUAUUCUAUUGGUUUUUAUUUAGUAAUUUGUUUAUAAAUAUUUAUUUCAUUUAUGUGCUUUCUUGAAAUCAAGUGAUAAUAUCAUUUUCUAUGAUAGUUUAAUGAUUUGAGAUUUUAUUUGAAAUUUAUAGAGCCAUUUUAUUAUGAAGUUUAUAAAAUUUUUAUGAAAAUUUUGUCUAUUUAACUUAUAUAACUAUUUCAAACUUUUCAUUUUAUUUAUGUUCUAUUAUUUAUUGUUGGGACGUUAUUCACUGGAAAAGAUAUUUUGGUCUCAGAUGGUAUAGUUGAACUCGUGACCUGAGAUAUCCACUUAGGAGUUUUAUUGCUGAAUUGAAGUAGAAGAAUUAUUUCAGUCAAAUCCUAAUUUGAUAAAAAAUUUGAACUUUAUACUUACGUUGGCGUCUGGCCUCAGGUGCUCCACAUAGACUACAGGUAAAUGGCUCUUAAGAAAGGUAAACGCAAAAGUCAUAAUGACCUUGAUGUUCUCAGGGGUGGCCCCAGCAUUGACCUCAGUAGUGGUCCCAGCGUCGAUCCAAGUGGCGGCCCUAGUGUCGACCCUAGCAAUGGCCUUAAUGUUAUAGCUAGUAGUGAUACUCCCAAUGCUACUCUUAGUCUAACAAUGAAUGAUGAUCAGCUUCAGGAUGAGGCAAUUGAGAUUAGAAAGGGCUUAGUAUUGAUGACAGAAGUGAAUAGAUGGAGGAUAGCCAGACAAAAAUAUCCCCUCUAAUAGAAUGCUAAAGGGCAAUCGAUUAAGGACAAUAAAGAUGAAUUCAUCAGCUAUAUUGGAGCUGUGGCAAGAGAAAAUGUGCCUAUCACACUCAGAAAUUGGAAGAAGGCAUAUCAAUCUAUGAGGCAAUAUAUUUGGGAACAAGUAGAGUUAGCAUUUAUAAUUGAUGCUAGUCAAAGGAAGUAUGUCCUUUAAAUAGCUGGGAGAGGAAUGAGUUCUUUUCGAUAUUUUGUGGGAUCAAAAUAUAUUAAAAGAGCAGGUGGAAACAUUAGUUUCGAGGUCUCCACUUUAAUUAAACCUUUGGUAACCCAACAACAAUGGGAUGAAUUUGUUGCAUCUCAUUUUCAAAUGGAAUUUCAGCAAUUGAGCCAACAAAAUCAGGAGUUGGUUAAGAAAAAUCCUUAUCCUUUUAAGAAAGAUCGUGUAGGGUAUUCAGGCAUAGAGGAAAAGAUGAUUGAGCGAGAAGGCACAGGAGUUAGUAGCAUAUCCCGCCAUGUUCUUUUCAUAGAAGGUUGAACCAAUAAAGAGGGUAACAUUACAGAUGAGCAUGUUCAGGAGAUAGCUAAUAAAUGUGUAAUUAUUAAUUUGACAUAGUAAAUUUAAUUUUUUCAUUCAAACAAGUAAUUUAAGUUUUUCAAUUUGUGUCACAUAAGCUGCUAUCUCAGAUGAAGUCUUAAAGAGUGAGCGUCUGGAGGAUGAAGAUAUCUUGGGUCAGGCAUUGGAUAAUCCUGACCACCCCGGACGUGUUAAGGGUGUUGGUUUUGGCAUCACUAAGAAGCAAGUAUUUGGGACUAAAAAGCCAUCAAAAGGUGCAACACCUUCUUUAGCUGAGUUUAAUGCACUAAAAGAUAAGGUUGAUAGGAUGCAUCAGUUGGUUGAUGUGUUGCUCAUGUCCCAAUAGUAAGAGAGACAGUUGCACCGUAGCUCAGCCUUCUCAUCCGAACCUUCCUGAGGUAAAGCCAAAUGUGAGUUUUUAGCAAACAGUCUAGAUCGUCGUGUGGUUGCAAUUGGUAUAAUGUAUAAUGUCCCCAGGGGCAUUAUACAUAAUGUGCCAAUUCCUUUAGGCAACAUACGAGUUUGUCUAAAGGUUUCUUUGGAUGACAACUAUCAGCUGCCCAUUCCAACGGAGGAUGUGAUGACUGUAGGAGAUGUAUUGGGCACCUUUAUUGCAUGGCCCACCACCCUUAUAAGGCCAAUAUCUAACAAAGAUAAGUUUAAGGAAAAAGACUUCCCUAGCAAACAAUCAACUGGCCAUAAGUCAAAGAUUAUCGCACCUCCCCUGCUUCAAAAGAUGGAGCCUCAAUUGUCACAUAAAUUCCUGACUUUACUAGGGGCAUAUGCUACCAUGCAAAGGAGUAUUCAUGAUUUUAUUGCUGUAGACGUCCCAUUCGAGCAUGGUAUGUAUGACAGAGAUCAUACCAAUCACAUAACACUCUAUAGAUGAAGUACUCCACCAUGGCAUGAUUAGCACGAUCGUCAUGGAUUUUUAUUUGAGAUCAAGCAAAGCAACUAUGCAAUUCAUUCAAAGCUAGGACUACUAAAAAAGGGGGGAGGUUAUUCUUAAUACCUUACGUGCAAGGGGAUCAUUGGGUGCUGAUUGCCCUUGAUCCAGCUAAAGAAAAAUAUGAAAAAUUGGCCAUCUAUUACUUGUGUUCUGCUAGCAGACAACUGAAUAAUCGCAAAGAUAUGAUGAAAUUAAUCAACAAGGUUGUGUUUUUGUACCGCACGGAUGAAUCUUUAACUGUCCCUAGGGUCAAACCAUUUGACCAAUUGUUCACAUGGAUAGUAAUAAGGUGCCCACAUCAAAGACCAGAUUCAGUGGACUGUGGAUAUUGUGUGAUGAGAUUCAUUAAAGACAUCAUCACUCACGCCAAGACUUCAAUCUUUACCAAGUAUUAUGAUGACGCUUGUUGUGAAGAAUUUGGGGAUGCACACAUCAAUGAAGUCGUGGAAGAGUGGUGCUAACAUAUAUUUCAACUUUGGAUCAUGCAAAAUUCAUGCAUUUAGUGAGUGCACAUUUGGUCUAGCUUGAAGGCAAAAAGAAUGUGGCUUAGGAUAGAAUUAUUGUUUCAUUUUUUAGGAUAAAAUUGUGAUUUAGGAUUAAGAUUUGCAACUUUUUUGUUUAUAAUUAAUGUGACUGUGUAUA